RNAcentral lists this ribosomal RNA (608 nucleotides) under Hydraena abyssinica. Its description in RNAcentral is "partial 16S ribosomal RNA". The stretch from base 375 to 532 matches the Rfam family "Bacterial large subunit ribosomal RNA", at positions 2473 to 2632 of the family's 2925-position model. Lineage: Eukaryota; Metazoa; Arthropoda; Insecta; Coleoptera; Hydraenidae. The record is from RNAcentral.
GUCCUUUUGAUUAUAAUUUAAGGUUUAACCUGCCCACUGAAAAAUUAAAUGGCCGCAGUAUUUUGACUGUGCAAAGGUAGCAUAAUCAUUAGUUUCUUAAUUAGAAGCUUGUAUGAAUGGUUGGACGAGAGACUUUCUGUCUCAAUUUAUUUAUUAAAAUUUUAUUUUUAAGUCAAAAAGCUUAAAUAAUUUUAAAAGACGAGAAGACCCUAUAGAGUUUUAUAAAUUAAUAAAUUUUUUUUUUAGAAUAUUAUUUAUUAUUAAUUUAUUUUAUUGGGGUGAUAUAUAAAUUUAAAAAACUUUAUAUUAUUUUAUACAUAUUUAUAUGAAUUUAUGAUCCAUUUUUUAUGAUUAAAAGAAAAAAUUACCUUAGGGAUAACAGCGUAAUUUUUUUUUAGAGUUCUAAUCGAAAAAAAAGUUUGCGACCUCGAUGUUGGAUUAAAGUUAAUUUAUGGUGUAGAAGCUAUAUUAUUGGGUCUGUUCGACCUUAAAACUUUACAUGAUCUGAGUUUAAACCGGCGUGAGCCAGGUUGGUUUCUAUCUUUAAAUAUUUUAAAUAUUUUAGUACGAAAGGACCAUUAUUUUUAAUAUUUAAUAAAUUUUGAAUU